Gossypium arboreum is the source of this 236-nucleotide long non-coding RNA. RefSeq lists it as uncharacterized. NCBI's taxonomy places the organism in Eukaryota, Viridiplantae, Streptophyta, Magnoliopsida, Malvales, Malvaceae. The record is from RefSeq and is a predicted model, not a curated record. The transcript is spliced from 2 exons.
AGAUUAACGUAUUAGUAAUCCAAUUGUAGGCGGUUCGUGUGUGGAUCUCGUCAGUAUAUCGUCGCAAACAGGUAAUCCCCAACCAUAGUGGGCUUGGAGCUGUGAGGGAAUUCGGAGUGGCCACCCGUUCUGAAAGUUUGAUUUUCUUCUGGUGAACUGGACAUCCUUUUAUUUACUUUUGAAGUUUUGGGUUUUUAAAUGUAAUAAGGCCGCUUAAUUAUUUUUGAUGGUUUUAA